GCCGAGAUGGCGGAACUGGUAGACGCAAGGGACUUAAAAUCCCUCGGGCUGAUAAAGCCUGUGUGGGUUCGAUUCCCACUCUCGGCA
This 87-nucleotide transfer RNA is filed under the name Bacteroidota bacterium. Its description in RNAcentral is "Bacteroidetes bacterium (hot springs metagenome) tRNA-Leu". It matches the Rfam family "tRNA". From Rfam's summary of the family: Transfer RNA (tRNA) molecules are approximately 80 nucleotides in length. Their secondary structure includes four short double-helical elements and three loops (D, anti-codon, and T loops). Lineage: Bacteria; Pseudomonadati; Bacteroidota. The record is from RNAcentral.